Molecule: long non-coding RNA, 524 nt
Filed under: Homo sapiens (human)
Lineage: Eukaryota; Metazoa; Chordata; Mammalia; Primates; Hominidae
Description: long intergenic non-protein coding RNA 1905
Source: RNAcentral
GUUAGGUUCUGUCAAUAGAAGAUACUAAAGAAAGAAAGCCAGGAGAAGAAAAGGGACUUCUUUCUUCAAGGUCUAAGCUGUUCUAAUAGCAUUAUUCUGGGAAUGGCAUCUUCCACUCCUCCUAGUACAAAGAACCUGCUUCCUCAUACCCCGUCAAGGAACUGCAGCAUCCAGAAUACAUUCAUACCUAACACCUCAAUAGAUGACAUGUUAUCCAUGGAAUCGAGUUCAAAGCCCUCUGUAACGUGGCUAUAUCCCAUCUACUCUGAGCUGAUGUUCAGCAGGUGAUGGCCACAGUGGCAGAACCUAGGAAGCCAAGAAGAAACCAGAGAAUGGAGACACAUGGCAGCAAUGGCAAGUCAUCAGACCCAGGAUUUCCCAAAGAACACUGGUCCAGGAAGAUGCUCUGUGAAAAAGUGUUCCCUGGUCGGAGAAAUUUGUGAAACACUUUGCAUAAUACUUAAAAGAAUGUAUGGCACAUCAAAGGUAAUAUGCAAUAAAAGAAUUCAUUUUUUUAAAACCAA